Rhincodon typus (whale shark) is the source of this 263-nucleotide long non-coding RNA. RefSeq lists it as uncharacterized. NCBI's taxonomy places the organism in Eukaryota, Metazoa, Chordata, Chondrichthyes, Orectolobiformes, Rhincodontidae. The record is from RefSeq and is a predicted model, not a curated record. The transcript has 3 exons.
GCCACUUGGCUUAAAUGAUACACAAAUAAAAAGGAAGGCUGAGAAUAAUCAAAAAGGAAACCAAAUCUCUGAAGAACAAAGACAGAGGAAUCUGUACGACAGACGUUGGAGAGUCAGAAGGAUGUGCCACCUAGUGGUCUGAAGAAGAUCUAAAUGCUCAUCACGUACCAUUCCCUGGCAAGAACAACCAGUUUCAAGGCUUACGGUCGUACACCUAUAAUCACAGAAAACGAGAAACGAAAAUUCACCUUCCUAAUGCAAAU